GGGAGCUACCAUUUGAUUUUUAUGGGGGGGCUAGGAUGAAAAAUUUUGUCCUGCAUUUUUUUUUAGCUGUAAUCUCUGUCCUGCCUUUUUAUUUUUCACUCUGUUCGGUCCUGCUUUUUUUUUUUUUUAGUUAAUCCUGACUUUUUUUUACCUAAAUUGUCGUCCUGACUUUUUUUUUGCAAGUGUCUCAUCCUGCCUUUUUUUUUUACUCAAAACUCAGUCCUGUCCUGCCUAUUUUUUUCAAAUUUCAUCCUAGCCCCCCCCCCCCAUAAAAAUCAAAUGGUAGCUCCCUAAGCUU
Molecule: long non-coding RNA, 298 nt
Filed under: Mytilus galloprovincialis (Mediterranean mussel)
Lineage: Eukaryota; Metazoa; Mollusca; Bivalvia; Mytilida; Mytilidae
Source: RNAcentral